AGAGUUUGAUCCUGGCUCAGGAUGAACGCUAGCUACAGGCUUAACACAUGCAAGUCGAGGGGAAACGACAUCGAAAGCUUGCUUUUGAUGGGCGUCGACCGGCGCACGGGUGAGUAACGCGUAUCCAACCUGCCCACCACUUGGGGAUAACCUUGCGAAAGUAAGACUAAUACCCAAUGACGUCUCUAGAAGACAUCUGAAGGAGAUUAAAGAUUUAUCGGUGAUGGAUGGGGAUGCGUCUGAUUAGCUUGUUGGCGGGGUAACGCCACAAGGCGACGAUCAGUAGGGGUUCUGGAGAGGAAGGUCCCCCANAUUGGAACUGAGACACGGUCCAAAACUCCGUACGGGAGGCA
Molecule: ribosomal RNA, 353 nt
Filed under: uncultured bacterium
Lineage: Bacteria
Description: bacterial SSU rRNA
Rfam family: Bacterial small subunit ribosomal RNA
Source: RNAcentral